Molecule: ribosomal RNA, 465 nt
Filed under: Vreelandella stevensii
Lineage: Bacteria; Pseudomonadati; Pseudomonadota; Gammaproteobacteria; Oceanospirillales; Halomonadaceae
Description: partial 16S ribosomal RNA
Rfam family: Bacterial small subunit ribosomal RNA
Source: RNAcentral
CCUACGGGGGGCAGCAGUGGGGAAUAUUGGACAAUGGGGGGAACCCUGAUCCAGCCAUGCCGCGUGUGUGAAGAAGGCCCUCGGGUUGUAAAGCACUUUCAGUGAGGAAGAACGCCUGGUGGUUAAUACCCAUCAGGAAAGACAUCACUCACAGAAGAAGCACCGGCUAACUCCGUGCCAGCAGCCGCGGUAAUACGGAGGGUGCGAGCGUUAAUCGGAAUUACUGGGCGUAAAGCGCGCGUAGGUGGCUUGAUAAGCCGGUUGUGAAAGCCCCGGGCUCAACCUGGGAACGGCAUCCGGAACUGUCAAGCUAGAGUGCGGGAGAGGAAGGUAGAAUUCCCGGUGUAGCGGUGAAAUGCGUAGAGAUCGGGAGGAAUACCAGUGGCGAAGGCGGCCUUCUGGACUGACACUGACGCUGAGGUGCGAAAGCGUGGGUAGCAAACAGGAUUAGAUACCCUGGUAGUC